GAUGAACGCUGGCGGCGUGCCUAAUACAUGCAAGUCGAGCGAACGGACGAGAAGCUUGCUUCUCUGAUGUUAUCGGCGGACGGGUGAGUAACACGUGGAUAACCUACCUAUAAGACUGGGAUAACUUCGGGAAACCGGAGCUAAUACCGGAUAAUAUUUUGAACCGCAUGGUUCAAAAGUGAAAGACGGUCUUGCUGUCACUUAUAGAUGGAUCCGCGCUGCAUUAGCUAGUUGGUAAGGUAACGGCUUACCAAGGCAACGAUGCAUAGCCGACCUGAGAGGGUGAUCGGCCACACUGGAACUGAGACACGGUACAGACUCCUACGGGAGGCAGCAGUAGGGAAUCUUCCGCAAUGGGCGAAAGCAUGACGGAGCAACGCCGCGUGAGUGAUGAAGGUCUUCGGAUCGUAAAACUCUGUUAUUAGGGAAGAACAUAUGUGUAAGUAACUGUGCACAUCUUGACGGUACCUAAUCAGAAAGCCACGGCUAACUACGUG
Molecule: ribosomal RNA, 497 nt
Filed under: uncultured bacterium
Lineage: Bacteria
Description: partial 16S ribosomal RNA
Rfam family: Bacterial small subunit ribosomal RNA
Source: RNAcentral